Molecule: long non-coding RNA, 395 nt
Filed under: Rattus norvegicus (Norway rat)
Lineage: Eukaryota; Metazoa; Chordata; Mammalia; Rodentia; Muridae
Description: long non-coding RNA NONRATT016292
Source: RNAcentral
CGUCAGUGGAACCAGAUGGCGAGCACGCCAAGCGCAACUGUCCUUCUCUACCUGAAACUUUAAAUUUAAACCCCAGUCUGAAACACACACUGGCACAAUUCCAUUUAAGUAGUCAGAGCUCUUUGGGUGGACCAGCAGCUUUUUCUGCUCGAUAUUCCCAAGAAAGCAUGUCACCGACUGUGUUCCUGCCUCUUCCGUCUCCUCAGGUUCUUCCUGGUCCUCUUCUUAUUCCUUCUGAUAGCUCCACAGAGCUCACUCAGACUGUUUUGGAAGGGGAGUCUAUUUCUUGUUUUCAAGUCGGAGGAGAAAAGAGACUGUGUUUGCCCCAAGUCUUAAAUUCUGUUCUCCGAGAAUUUUCACUCCAGCAAAUAAACACAGUAUGCGAUGAGCUCUAC